This is a long non-coding RNA of Vanessa tameamea, 3364 nucleotides long. RefSeq lists it as uncharacterized. The record is from RefSeq and is a predicted model, not a curated record. Lineage: Eukaryota; Metazoa; Arthropoda; Insecta; Lepidoptera; Nymphalidae. The transcript has 3 exons.
UUUGUCAACAACCUAACGUAACUUUUUUAUUUUACCUAGCUGUUCGGCAAACAGUGAACUUUGAAAAAAAAUAUUGAAAAGGUUCGAUAUUAUAUUUAAAAAAAUAUGCGUAGUCUUUCAGUGACUUAAAAAUAAAAUGUAUUUUCAGUGUUUAUACGACUGACCUGAUCAAAUGAUUACACCCAGACGCAAAAAUGAUUGAAGAAGAAAUCGAUGAAGAAUAUAUAGACGAUCCGAUAAGAUUGUUUGAUUGUGAACAGAUCCGAGUACUUUGUUGUCCAGUAAGCAAAGCACACGAUGUCGAAGAUGCUUCGUAUGAAGGCAAUAUACGACUUAAAGAGUAUCGUUUAAAUUAUGAAGAAACAGUAAAUUCGUAUAAAAAUAAUUCUUCUAUAUUACCGGUUACAUUCUUUGACAUAGAGAGCAAUGUGGAACUUUUAAACCGAUGUCGUCCACUUAGUAUAAAACUCGUUGACUAUAAUAGGUUUCCUUGGUAUCAUAAUUUGAAAAAGAAAGUUGUAGAUUGUUCUAAUUUGAAUUUGAAUAAAAGUGAUUUACAAGAAGCAGAUUGUAUAGAAAUUUUAGCUUCAGACACAAAUGGCGAUGACGAUACAGUUUAUAAGCAGAUUACUUCAAAAGACAGUCUGAAUACUAAUGAUAAUAAAAAAUUAUCCAAAGUAAGUUUUGUAAGUAAAAAUGACACGAUUUCAGAAAGGCACCUAACAAGAAGAAUGUUUAGUAAAGAUGUAAUCAAUAGAUAUCAAAAUAGUAAAGUUAAAGACCUUAAAAUAGGAAAAGGAAUAACUAAUCUUGAAGACCCACAGGAAAAUAUUGAAAUUGAGACAAAAUCCGCUAACAAAACAAAAUUCAUUUCCGAAAAUCAACAUAACUAUAAAGAACUCGAUGUUGAUAAAAUGAAUACUUUCGCAUCCAUUAUUGAUAAAGCGUAUAAAAAAUUGACAAGAGAUAUCGAAAAGCCUUAUAAAGAAAUUAAAACUGAAAAUACAUCCAAUAAGAGUAAGACUAAUCGCUUAGAUGAUUACACAAAAAUAAACUGUAGUCAUUUGGAUAAAGAUGUUCAAAAUAAAGCAGAUGGAAUCAUUUGCAAUAACAAAUACGAUUUGUUAAAAUCUAAAACGUUUUCAAACGAUAAAAAUCAGACUUCAGAAAAAUAUAAAGAAAAUAAUGUUUUUAUUCAAGAAAUGGAAAUAUUAGAAACUAUCAUAGAAAAUAGUAAUGACUCAAGUUCACCUCUACUACCUUGUCCAUCAAAGACAAAAAGGAAUGACCAAAUGAAUAGGAUAAAAAUAUCAGAUACGCCAUUUCCAUCAAAUACCAAACAUAAAAUUAAGAAAAAUGUUUGCAAGAAUCAGUUAUUUAGCGCAAAGCGAGUGAUUCCUCAUUAUCAUUAUGAAUCAAUGUAUGCUACACAAAUAUGUAAACCAUUUAAUUCUCAACCAAAAAUUUCUAAAAAAUCAAAUAAUAAAACUGGAUUUUUACAAAAAAAUAUUGACCGUGUAACUUGUGAAGUAAAUAAUAAAAAACGAGGUCUAUCAAAAGAAUGUAAUCAAAAUAAACGCAUCAAAUUUGCUGACACUGAUUUAAAUAAAAUGAAUAAUAUUACUCAUAAUAAUCAUACGACAUCUAAAGCUGACCAUAUGGCUUCACUAAAUCAUGUGAUGUCUUUAUGCAACAAGCAGUGUUAUGCUCAAGUGGGCUUAAGUCCAAAUCAAACUGGAUGCAACCUUAAUGAGGGAGACUCAAGAAACUUAGACAAUAUGAGAUGUCAUACAAUUUCAUCGCUAGAUGCAACACAAGGAAAUAAAAAUAGGCCAAAGUCUGUAAGUAACAGUAUUCCUAUUUUGUUAGAUCGGCAAUCGAAGCAUGUGCAACAUAAUAUUACGCCAAAGUUUCCAAUUCAAAGAGUUGUAUCCAAUCGAUGUAAUUCUUAUACUAAUGAUUUAAUUUUUCAAACAAGUAAUAUAUUACUUGCAAAUGAUCAUCCUUAUCAAAAUCUCUGCCAUCGAAGUAAUCAUCAUAAUGAUUCAUACGAUUUAGAACAAUCCUUAAAUAAUAUAACGAAUGGUACGAAAACUGUAACUGUUUAUGAAGACAAUCCUUUAUCUGCUUCGUUUUAUACGAUUCCUUCAACUCCAAUUAAUCUAUUACCUGAAUAUCAAAAUGACAACAGUCGAAUUUCAAGUACAAAAUUCCAACAUCAUCAUAUUAAUAAUUAUGAAAAUACUAUACGUACCGAAAAUGUUGAGAGACAAACAAAAAUACUGAGUAGUCAAAGAAAUUUAAACGUCAACAGAAAAGCAAUAAUAGCUACGGUAAUUGCGAAAGAUUCUGAUGUGAAUCAAAAAGCUAAUAGUGCAGUUGAAAAUGCAACGCAUACUACUGAGAGGGAAGUUCAGAAAUAUCCACAUUUAAAACAGUGUUUGGAACGUCCACCUUUCCUAAUAAAUAAUCCUACCAAGAUGAACAGGGAGAAGCAAACAAGUGUAAAUAAUAUAGCAAGUAGAAAUUUAGAUAAAAUGUCGAAUAAAGGUUAUUCGCCGCCAAUAUUGCCGAUACCAUCUUACCAAAAAACGUUUGAAAUAUUAGCCAAGAUUAGACUAUAUGAUUAUGAUAGAGGAUUCAUUCAACCUGAUUUAUCUGAUAAUGGUAUCCCAUCAUCAGAAAAUUUUAAUAUUUUAGAGAAAACUGCGCACAAAAGAAAAAUAAACGAUGUACAAAAAGUAUCACGAAAUAUUACCCUAGAUGAUUACAAAAAACGCAUGUCUGACGAAAGUGCAAGAAGGUAACAUUAUCAAGUUUUGUGUUGCAUUUUUUCUUUUCGACUUCUAUUUGAUAAUGGCUUUCUAGGGUUAUAGUGCCCAAAAUAUUUAACGUUCAACCGUAUAUAAACACAGUAAGAAUAAAGAAAAAAAAAGAUAUAGCAAUAUAAACGAUUCUCUAUUGUUAGGCGUCGAAAACUGGAAAUUAUAUUUCGCUUAUGUAAUUUUGUUCCAAAAAACGCUUAAUAUGAACUUAAUGCUUAAUCGGUUUUCAAAUAAUUAUAAUUUUUAGAGUAACGGUUACUAUUCAAAGUUAAAUAGCGAUUUUGUUCAGUUUUAGUAUUAGGUCUUAGGACUUUAAGAUCGAUAAUGGUUUAUGGACUGACUGUUUUGUUUAUUUAGUUAUUAUUUAUUGUAUUUUUAUAAGCAAUUGUAAGUUUAUUUCUGUUAACGUCAAAUAGAUUUAUGACACAAUAAGGACAGUCAUUUAUAAGUAUGCCUUAAUAUUAUGUAAUUUUACAUGAAAAAGUUUAGCGCAUGCGUUGUUAACUCAAUAUUCGAAACUAUUAUGACAUAUUAUAUAU